Small nucleolar RNA from Ailuropoda melanoleuca (giant panda), 115 nucleotides. Its record names the gene U3. It matches the Rfam family "Small nucleolar RNA U3". From Rfam's summary of the family: Small nucleolar RNAs (snoRNAs) are involved in the processing and modification of rRNA in the nucleolus. There are two main classes of snoRNAs: the box C/D class, and the box H/ACA class. Lineage: Eukaryota; Metazoa; Chordata; Mammalia; Carnivora; Ursidae. The record is from Ensembl.
AAGACUAUCCUUUCAGGGUUCAUUUCUGUAGUUUGUUACUAGAUGUUUAUAGCAGCAUUAUCAACAAUAGCCAAGUUAUGGAAAUAACCCAAACAUCCAUCGAUUGAUGAAUGGA